This 459-nucleotide ribosomal RNA is filed under the name uncultured bacterium. RNAcentral describes it as "partial 16S ribosomal RNA". It matches the Rfam family "Bacterial small subunit ribosomal RNA", at positions 338 to 795 of the family's 1533-position model. The record is from RNAcentral.
CCUACGGGAGGCAGCAGUGAGGAAUAUUGGUCAAUGGGCGCAAGCCUGAACCAGCCAAGUAGCGUGAAGGAUGACUGCCCUACGGGUUGUAAACUUCUUUUAUAAGGGAAUAAUGUGAGGCACGUGUGCCUUUUUGUAUGUACUUUAUGAAUAAGGAUCGGCUAACUCCGUGCCAGCAGCCGCGGUAAUACGGAGGAUCCGAGCGUUAUCCGGAUUCAUUGGGUUUAAAGGGUGCGCAGGCGGGCCUUUAAGCCGGCGGUGAAAUGGCGGGGCUCCACCCCGCCGAGCCGUUGGAACUGGGGGCCUUGAGUGCGGCGGAGGGAGGCGGAAUGAGCGGUGUAGCGGGGAAAUGCAUAGAUAUAGCGCAGAACCACGAUAGCGAAGGCAGCUUGCCGGGCCGCCACUGACGCUGAGGCACGAAAGCGCGGGUAGCGAACAGGAUUAGAUACCCCGGUAGUC